UACAGAGGGUGCAAGCGUUAAUCGGAAUUACUGGGCGUAAAGCGUGCGUAGUCGGUUAUCUAAGUCGGGUGUGAAAUCCCCGGGCUCAACCUGGGAAUUGCAUUCGAUACUGGAUAGCUAGAGUUCGGCAGAGGGAAGCGGAAUUUCGGGUGUAGCGGUGAAAUGCGUAGAUAUCCGAAGGAACAUCAGUGGCGAAAGCGGCUUCCUGGACCAGAACUGACGAUCAGGCACGAAAGCGUGGGGAGCAAACAGG
RNAcentral lists this ribosomal RNA (253 nucleotides) under uncultured bacterium. RNAcentral's name for it is "partial 16S ribosomal RNA". It matches the Rfam family "Bacterial small subunit ribosomal RNA", at positions 524 to 776 of the family's 1533-position model. RNAcentral also lists the same sequence under 2 other names. The record is from RNAcentral.